RNAcentral lists this ribosomal RNA (744 nucleotides) under uncultured bacterium. RNAcentral describes it as "bacterial SSU rRNA". It matches the Rfam family "Bacterial small subunit ribosomal RNA", at positions 8 to 796 of the family's 1533-position model. The record is from RNAcentral.
AGAGUUUGAUCAUGGCUCAGAGCGAACGCUGGCGGCAGGCUUAACACAUGCAAGUCGAGCGGGCGUAGCAAUACGUCAGCGGCAGACGGGUGAGUAACGCGUGGGAACGUACCUUUUGGUUCGGAACAACACAGGGAAACUUGUGCUAAUACCGGAUAAGCCCUUACGGGGAAAGAUUUAUCGCCGAAAGAUCGGCCCGCGUCUGAUUAGCUAGUUGGUGAGGUAAUGGCUCACCAAGGCGACGAUCAGUAGCUGGUCUGAGAGGAUGAUCAGCCACAUUGGGACUGAGACACGGCCCAAACUCCUACGGGAGGCAGCAGUGGGGAAUAUUGGACAAUGGGCGCAAGCCUGAUCCAGCCAUGCCGCGUGAGUGAUGAAGGCCCUAGGGUUGUAAAGCUCUUUUGUGCGGGAAGAUAAUGACGGUACCGCAAGAAUAAGCCCCGGCUAACUUCGUGCCAGCAGCCGCGGUAAUACGAAGGGGGCUAGCGUUGCUCGGAAUCACUGGGCGUAAAGGGUGCGUAGGCGGGUCUUUAAGUCAGGGGUGAAAUCCUGGAGCUCAACUCCAGAACUGCCUUUGAUACUGAAGAUCUUGAGUUCGGGAGAGGUGAGUGGAACUGCGAGUGUAGAGGUGAAAUUCGUAGAUAUUCGCAAGAACACUAGUGGCGAAGGCGGCUCACUGGCCCGAUACUGACGCUGAGGCACGAAAGCGUGGGGAGCAAACAGGAUUAGAUACCCUGGUAGUCC